Molecule: ribosomal RNA, 476 nt
Filed under: uncultured bacterium
Lineage: Bacteria
Description: SSU rRNA
Rfam family: Bacterial small subunit ribosomal RNA
Source: RNAcentral
AGGACGAACGCUGGCGGCGUGCUUAACACAUGCAAGUCGAACGGUGACGAGGGAGCUUGCUCCUUCUGAUCAGUGGCGAACGGGUGAGUAACACGUGAGUAACCUGCCCCAGACUCUGGGAUAACAUCGGGAAACCGGUGCUAAUACCGGAUAUGAGACGAGACUGCAUGGUCAUCGUCUGGAAAGAUUUAUCGGUCUGGGAUGGACUCGCGGCCUAUCAGCUAGUUGGUGAGGUAACGGCUCACCAAGGCGACGACGGGUAGCCGGCCUGAGAGGGCGAUCGGCCACACUGGAACUGAGACACGGCCCAGACUCCUACGGGAGGCAGCAGUGGGGAAUAUUGCGCAAUGGGCGAAAGCCUGACGCAGCGACGCCGCGUGGGGAUGAAGGCCUUCGGGUUGUAAGCUCUUUGUGCGGGAAGAUAAUGACGGUACCGCAAGAAUAAGCCCGGCUAACUUCGCGCCAGCAGCCGCGGU